This is a long non-coding RNA of Parus major (Great Tit), 858 nucleotides long. RefSeq lists it as uncharacterized. NCBI's taxonomy places the organism in Eukaryota, Metazoa, Chordata, Aves, Passeriformes, Paridae. The record is from RefSeq and is a predicted model, not a curated record. The transcript has 3 exons.
AGGGAAAGGAGAAAAUAUGAAUGGCGUUGUCAGGGAGAAAACUCCACUUGGUGUCUGGCAUCAAGAGGAGAACAGCUGAGUAACUGUGCUUGACGUUAAUUGACAUUUAGUGAAAGAAGUAAGGACCACCCACGGAAGUGAUUUCUUUGAGAGAGGCUGCUGGGAGCUUCCCCUAUGCCUGAGACAGGCCAAUAGCUGACCAGUUCUGAGAACUGACAACGUUUUCCACCACUGAAAAUUAGAUCCGCCUCCGUGAAUACCAUCUUUUAAAAACCCAAGCCCAGGAAUCUCUUUUGUUUCCAGCCUCAGAAGGUAUCAAAGGUCUGGUGAGGCCGGCCCUGCUCCCCGCAGCCUGUGCGGCCUGGAGGAGGCCGGGCCGGGCCCCGGCGGCUCCCGGGCAGGGGAUGGAGGCUGUGGGGAGCCUGGGGCCAGGCUCCUGGGCCAGGCCACAGCUGCUGACAUCUUGCCAACAGUGUUUUGCCCUUCUUCUAAUCCAUAUCUCACAUGGAAAAAUGACAGGCCAGAGAAACUUCCUUGCCUUGGAGUGAAGACUGUCUGAAGUGCUGCUCUGUGAAGUGCACAAGUUUUGGACUGGUAAAAGUACUUUGCAUCAUUUUCAGUGACUUCAGCACACAAGGAGGGAACAAAUGAGAUUUAUGAUCCAGAAAAGAGCAAAAGGAAGUUUGAAACUGUAGAAUGAACACGUUAGUUUUAUGCUUCUGGUAAAAUUAUCAUUAAUCUCAAUAAGAAUGAUAUUGAUAAUAAAGAUUUAUCAUUAGUUUUUAAAAAGAAGGCUGUCUGUCAUACAUGACUGCGCUCUUUUUUAGAAAUUACAGUUCAAAACCUAAAGCCUUUGAA